RNAcentral lists this ribosomal RNA (482 nucleotides) under uncultured bacterium. Its description in RNAcentral is "partial 16S ribosomal RNA". It matches the Rfam family "Bacterial small subunit ribosomal RNA", at positions 28 to 506 of the family's 1533-position model. The record is from RNAcentral.
GACGAACGCUGGCGGCGUGCUUAACACAUGCAAGUCGAACGAUGAAGCGGGUGCUUGCACUCGUGGAUUAGUGGCGAACGGGCGAGUAACACGUGAGUAACCUGUCCUUUUCUUUGGGAUAACGGCUGGAAACGGCUGCUAAUACUGGAUAUUCAGGCUGCAUCGCAUGGUGUGGUUUGGAAAGGUUUUUUCUGGGAUUGGGUGGGCUCGCGGCCUAUCAGCUUGUUGGUGGGGUGAUGGCUUACCAAGGCUUUGACGGGUAGCCGGCCUGAGAGGGUGGUCGGUCGCACUGGGACUGAGAUACGGCCCAGACUCCUACGGGAGGCAGCAGUGGGGAAUAUUGCACAAUGGACGAAAGUUUGAUGCAGCGACGCCGCGUGGAGGGUGUAGGCCUUCGGGUUGUGAACUCCUUUUUCUCGCGAAAAAGGCACAGUUUUGGCUGUGUUGAUGGUAGUGGGGGAAGAAACGCCGGCUAACUACGU